UACGUAGGGGGCUAGCGUUGUCCGGAUUUACUGGGCGUAAAGCGCGCGCAGGCGGCUGGCCAAGUCUGAUGUGAAAUCUUCCGGCUCAACUGGAAAAUGGCAUUAGAAACUGGCCGGCUGGAAGGUGGGAGAGGGCAGCGGAAUUCCCGGUGUAGUGGUGGAAUGCGUAGAUAUCGGGAGGAACACCAGUGGCGAAAGCGGCUGCCUGGCCCACUCUUGACGCUGAGGCGCGAAAGCUAGGGGAGCAAACGGG
This 253-nucleotide ribosomal RNA is filed under the name uncultured bacterium. Its description in RNAcentral is "partial 16S ribosomal RNA". It matches the Rfam family "Bacterial small subunit ribosomal RNA", at positions 524 to 776 of the family's 1533-position model. The record is from RNAcentral.